AGGACGAACGCUGGCGGCGUGCUUAACACAUGCAAGUCGAACGGAAAGGCCCGCUUGCGGGUACUCGAGUGGCGAACGGGUGAGUAACACGUGGGCAACCUGCCCUCAGCUCUGGGAUAACUCCGGGAAACCGGUGCUAAUACUGGAUAUCAACUUUGCCUCGCAUGGGGUGUUGUUGAAAGUUUUUCGGCUGGGGAUGGGCCCGCGGCCUAUCAGCUUGUUGGUGGGGUGAUGGCCUACCAAGGCGACGACGGGUA
This 257-nucleotide ribosomal RNA is filed under the name uncultured bacterium. RNAcentral's name for it is "partial small subunit ribosomal RNA". It matches the Rfam family "Bacterial small subunit ribosomal RNA", at positions 26 to 285 of the family's 1533-position model. The record is from RNAcentral.